RNAcentral lists this small RNA (32 nucleotides) under Bombyx mori (domestic silkworm). RNAcentral's name for it is "ovarian small RNA-30551". Lineage: Eukaryota; Metazoa; Arthropoda; Insecta; Lepidoptera; Bombycidae. The record is from RNAcentral.
UGAAAUAGCCUCUCUAGCCUCUCAAGGCUAAC